RNAcentral lists this long non-coding RNA (2502 nucleotides) under Ailuropoda melanoleuca (giant panda). RNAcentral describes it as "lncRNA (ENSAMEG00000031079.1)". Lineage: Eukaryota; Metazoa; Chordata; Mammalia; Carnivora; Ursidae. The record is from RNAcentral.
GGAAAAUAAUGAAAAUAGGAUUUUAACAUUAGUAAGAGCGCAAGAAGGAGCCUUUAAUUUAAAUCAGGAUUCAUGGAGAACCCUGGUGGUACAGAUGAAAUGUUUUUAUUGGGAAGGCAGGCCUAAAACCAGGCCAAGAGGACCUGUUGGGCCAGGGCCUUUUUGAAGGAGGGGAGAAGAGCUUCGCUGACUUCUGAGGAGAAGGGGAGAAGGCCCUUUGAUGGCUCUAUUGUUCCAAGCGCUGCCCUACAAAUGCCACAUGCCUCCCUGCCUCGUCCUUAAGGGCAAAGCGGGAAACUGGGUCGGCUGAGCGGAGGAGCUCGAGGUAGUGGCAGAGCUGGCACAAACCUCCCUCAGCCUCCUCUGCUGCCCCUUGGGACAGCAACGACGCGCCAUUCCCGUCGCAGGCACCGAACACACAAAGGAAGCCCCCACCCAUCCUCAGACGUGGGGACACUCUGGGGAGGAGGCUGGCGUGGACCCCGAGUCUGAGCACCUCCCUCCCCCGCGGGGAACAAUAGCCGCCGCCUCCCCCGGGCGGCCCGGCGUGGGGCGCGGCACAAAGGCCGUCUCGGGGCCGCGCCACCAUGUGACGCGCGCGCUCGCCCCGCGCUCCCCGGGCGGGCGGCAGGACGCAGUCCGCGGAGCGCGGGAGCCGCGGGGCUGCGGCGGGGCUGCCCGAAUCCACCUGGCACACUUUCGGCGAGACAAACGCGGUUCCUCCUACUUCAGAGCAAGUCUGGGCCAGCUGGGAGCCGACCAGAAACCGCAGGCAGAGGAGACGCAGGCACGCGGGUGAGCGCUCACGGAGGGUGCGAUCCGCCGCCCCACGCCGGUCACCCCCUCUCUCCCGGUCCCCACUGCCGCCUGCCGACCCCUUACGGCCCACGGCCCUCCCAAGAGGCGGGCCCCAGCGCCCGUCCCCGAAGCACAGUGACUCGGUGUCCCCCCGCGCUCCCCCCCCCACCUCCUGCUUCCUCCCUCCCCGGUCACACCCUCAACGCUACUCUACGCCCAGAAAGGGACACUCCAUCUCUCCCAAGGCGGAACAAGAAAAAUUCCAAUGGAUCAGAAGGUUUUUGCAGACACUAUUUAAGAAUUUAAAAAAGAUUCCCAAGGGACUAGAAUUCAGGGAAGAGGCGGAGCUAGUUUCGUUCUCUUAUUUACCUGCCGGAGUAAUUUUUGUGGGAGGAAGCAGGAUAACACCCCUGUUGAACUUGAAUCUAAACUUGAAUGCCAUAUAAAAAGAACAAUAAAAAUACACUUAAAAUACCAACCACAAUGAUAUGCCUCUCCUUUCUUCUCUGGUGUGAGGGAAGGACUGUAAUAUUUUUACAUCAGCUCUUUUGGGGUUCCUUUUAGAAAUACCAUAAAGGGAUAGACUAAGGGACAGACUGAAAAGCGCGCAGCGCGGUGUGAGGGGGUCAUUAGCAUUAGAGCUGUUUAGCUCAGGAGAGCUUGGGUAAGUGGGUGGUGAAGCAUUCUUAUAACCCUUCUUGAGUGGUACUUGUAGUCCUCUUAGUAAAUUCUAAGAAAGUUCCAGGCUAACCCCUCUUUUACUCUUUUUCCAAGUGACAUCAGCUGAGAAGUUUCUGGAGUUAGUUAAGUGUUGCCUCGGCCUAUAGGAAAGAGCCCCUAAAAGACAGAAAAUCCCAGCUGCCCCCUCCCCCUUCUCUUUCAGCAUCCUCUUGGGUGAAAAUUAACUUGCUUUGAAGAGAUGUUCUACUAUCAUUUUGCUUUAGAUAGAUUAUAACCUGAAGCAUUAAGCCUUGCACAGUGUUCUGAACUCAUUAAGCAAUUAAAAUACUGGUCCUGUUGUCCUUGGCUCAGAGUGUGUCCCUCUCUCCUUGCCUUUCAGCAAUACCUACUGAACAGCUCCUGUGGGCACUGUGCUGGGCUCUGAGAUAUAAAAAUGAGUCACUAAUAGUGUGUGCCUUUUCAUCUGCUGGGGGAGAAAAAGAAUCCUAAAACUGUGUGACAGAUGCUAGAACACAGGUGUGGCCAUAAUGUUCCUGGAAUAAAGAGAAGGAGCCACUAACACUACUGUAGGGUCAAAAACAAGGCUUCUCAGGGGAGGUGAAUUUGGGUUCCUGAAGUAUGAGUUUUUUAGGAAGGAAGGAGGGACAUACCAGGCAGAAAGGGCAGCACAUGCGAAGCAAGGAGGGAAGAAAGAGCAAGGUCUGGACCUGGAACAAGAAUCCUUUGGAGUAGAACGUCUGGCUGGAAAGAGAGGUUGUAUGGGGUACAUGGAAAGGAGCCUGGACCUAAGCUGUAGGCAGUGGGAAGCCACUGGGACGUGAGGUUAUGUAUUUGGAAAGCUUGCUUUUUGCGAUACUGUGACUGACUGGAGAAAGCAGAGAUAGGAGGCAAGAAGGAAAAAAAGGAGGCUGUUGCAAUAAUCCAGCACAGAGCGGAACUAAGGUAAUGACAAUGAAGAGGAAAGACAUUUAGGAGGACAAAUUCACAGGACUUGGUGAUAACUGGUUGAAUGAAAGAGGAGUU